CCUACGGGAGGCAGCAGUGAGGAAUAUUGGACAAUGGGCGCAAGCCUGAUCCAGCCAUGCCGCGUGCAGGAUGACGGUCCUAUGGAUUGUAAACUGCUUUUAUACGAGAAGAAACACCCCUACGUGUAGGGACUUGACGGUAUCGUAAGAAUAAGGAUCGGCUAACUCCGUGCCAGCAGCCGCGGUAAUACGGAGGAUCCAAGCGUUAUCCGGAAUCAUUGGGUUUAAAGGGUCCGUAGGCGGUUUAGUAAGUCAGUGGUGAAAUCUCCCCGCUCAACGGGGAAACGGCCAUUGAUACUGCUAGACUUGAAUUAUUAGGAAGUAACUAGAAUAUGUAGUGUAGCGGUGAAAUGCUUAGAGAUUACAUGGAAUACCAAUUGCGAAGGCAGGUUACUACUAAUGGAUUGACGCUGAUGGACGAAAGCGUGGGUAGCGAACAGGAUUAGAUACCCUGGUAGUCCACGCCGUAAACGAUGGAUACUAGCUGUUGGGUGCAAACUCAGUGGCUAAGCGAAAGUGAUAAGUAUCCCACCUGGGGAGUACGUUGCAAGAAUGAAACUUAAAGGAAUUGACGG
RNAcentral lists this ribosomal RNA (575 nucleotides) under uncultured bacterium. Its description in RNAcentral is "bacterial SSU rRNA". It matches the Rfam family "Bacterial small subunit ribosomal RNA", at positions 338 to 916 of the family's 1533-position model. The record is from RNAcentral.